RNAcentral lists this ribosomal RNA (484 nucleotides) under uncultured bacterium. RNAcentral's name for it is "partial 16S ribosomal RNA". It matches the Rfam family "Bacterial small subunit ribosomal RNA", at positions 30 to 507 of the family's 1533-position model. The record is from RNAcentral.
AUUGAACGCUGGCGGCAGGCCUAACACAUGCAAGUCGAGCGGAUGAAGGGAGCUUGCUCCUGGAUUCAGCGGCGGACGGGUGAGUAAUGCCUAGGAAUCUGCCUGGUAGUGGGGGAUAACGUCCGGAAACGGGCGCUAAUACCGCAUACGUCCUGAGGGAGAAAGUGGGGGAUCUUCGGACCUCACGCUAUCAGAUGAGCCUAGGUCGGAUUAGCUAGUUGGUGGGGUAAAGGCCUACCAAGGCGACGAUCCGUAACUGGUCUGAGAGGAUGAUCAGUCGCACUGGAACUGAGACACGGUCCAGACUCCUACGGGAGGCAGCAGUGGGGAAUAUUGGACAAUGGGCGAAAGCCUGAUCCAGCCAUGCCGCGUGUGUGAAGAAGGUCUUCGGAUUGUAAAGCACUUUAAGUUGGGAGGAAGGGCAGUAAGUUAAUACCUUGCUGUUUUGACGCUACCAACAGAAUAAGCACCGGCUAACUUCGUG